This 230-nucleotide unclassified non-coding RNA is filed under the name Oryza sativa (Asian cultivated rice). RNAcentral describes it as "partial microRNA MIR431b-1-as precursor". Lineage: Eukaryota; Viridiplantae; Streptophyta; Magnoliopsida; Poales; Poaceae. The record is from RNAcentral.
UCCGUCCCAUAUUACUUGUCGCUUUGACUUUUUUCUUGUAACGUUUGACCAUUCGUUUUAUUUAAAAAAUAAGUGCAAAUAUAGAAAAGAAUAAAUCAUACUUAAAGGACAUUUGAUAAUAAAACAAGUCACAAACAAAAUAAAUAAUAAUUCCAAAUGUGUUUGAAUAAGACGAAUGAUCAAAUAUUACAAACAAAAUCUCAAAGCGACAAGUAAUAUGGGACGGAUGU